This 374-nucleotide ribosomal RNA is filed under the name uncultured gamma proteobacterium 400m-FREE-28. RNAcentral's name for it is "partial 16S ribosomal RNA". Lineage: Bacteria; Pseudomonadati; Pseudomonadota; Gammaproteobacteria. The record is from RNAcentral.
GGUUACCUUGUUACGACUUCCUGAGCCAUGAUCAAACUCUAGUUACCUUGUUACGACUUCCUGAGCCAUGACCAAACUCUGGUUACCUUGUUACGACUUCACCCCAGUCAUGAAACACAAAGUGGUAAUCGUCCUCCCGAAGGUUAGACUAACUACUUCUUUUGCAUCCCACUCCCAUGGUGUGACGGGCGGUGUGUACAACGCCCGGGAACUUAUUCACCGCGUUAUUCUGACCUGCGAUUACUAGCGAUUCCGACUUCAUGGAGUCUAGUUGCGGACUCCAAUCCGGACUACGACAUUCUUUAAGGGGUCCGCUCCACAUCACUGUCUCGCUUCCCUCUGUAAAUGCCAUUGUAGCACGUGUGUUUGCCUAC